This 497-nucleotide ribosomal RNA is filed under the name uncultured bacterium. Its description in RNAcentral is "partial 16S ribosomal RNA". It matches the Rfam family "Bacterial small subunit ribosomal RNA", at positions 28 to 507 of the family's 1533-position model. The record is from RNAcentral.
GAUGAACGCUGGCGGCGUGCCUAAUACAUGCAAGUCGAGCGAACAGACGAGGAGCUUGCUCCUCUGACGUUAGCGGCGGACGGGUGAGUAACACGUGGAUAACCUACCUAUAAGACUGGGAUAACUUCGGGAAACCGGUGCUAAUACCGGAUAAUAUAUUGAACCGCAUGGUUCAAUAGUGUAAGACGGUUUUGCUGUCACUUAUAGAUGGAUCCGCGCCGCAUUAGCUAGUUGGUAAGGUAACGGCGUACCAAGGCAACGAUGCGUAGCCGACCUGAGAGGGUGAUCGGCCACACUGGAACUGAGACACGGUCCAGACUCCUACGGGAGGCAGCAGUAGGGAAUCUUCCGCAAUGGGCGAAAGCCUGACGGAGCAACGCCGCGUGAGUGAUGAAGGUCUUCGGAUCGUAAAACUCUGUUAUUAGGGAAGAACAAAUGUGUAAGUAACUAUGCACGUCUUGACGGUACCUAAACAGAAAGCCACGGCUAACUACGUG